Molecule: long non-coding RNA, 464 nt
Organism: Herpailurus yagouaroundi (jaguarundi)
Lineage: Eukaryota; Metazoa; Chordata; Mammalia; Carnivora; Felidae
Exons: 3
Source: RefSeq, a predicted model, not a curated record
UGAGGCGGGGCUUCGCCAAACCCAUCCCCUGGGGGGAGGCAGCCUCCGCCCUCUUUCCCCGCCCCCCUCAUCUGUGCGAGGCCGUACUUUUCCGUACAAAGCAGAAGUGCCAGGCGGAGAAGACCAAUGUAAAACCCUGACAGUUUUGGGAUGAUCACGGAGGACAAAGUUGAGAUUUGCAAGUGAGAAAAACUGAAGUCCCUGUACCGAGUGUAAACCUGCCAACCUUUGCCUUCACUGACUGCUCAGCAGAAUCAAAAGGAGUCUUGAAAGUCAGUCUACAGGAAAUUCUCAGGCUGAAGAAGGAUUGAUCUAGCAUCUGAGUUCCAGAGUAACGGGCUCAGAAUAUUGCAGGAGCACCUUAUUCUAAAAGCAAAGACUAAGAAUUUUUAAAUGAGAGAUAGCUCUGCUUUCUUGCAUUAAAAAGGCAAGACAAUCAAACAGUACUUGUCAUUUCUUCAGUA